Molecule: transfer RNA, 73 nt
Filed under: Felis catus (domestic cat)
Lineage: Eukaryota; Metazoa; Chordata; Mammalia; Carnivora; Felidae
Also listed under: 2 other names
Rfam family: tRNA
About the family: Transfer RNA (tRNA) molecules are approximately 80 nucleotides in length. Their secondary structure includes four short double-helical elements and three loops (D, anti-codon, and T loops).
Source: Rfam by way of RNAcentral
GCCCGGCAGGCUCAGUCGGAAGAGCACGUGACUCUUGAUCUUGGGGUUGUGAGUUUGAGCCCCACGUUGGGUG